RNAcentral lists this non-coding RNA (214 nucleotides) under Triticum aestivum (bread wheat). RNAcentral describes it as "Bacterial large subunit ribosomal RNA". It matches the Rfam family "Bacterial large subunit ribosomal RNA", at positions 46 to 268 of the family's 2925-position model. RNAcentral also lists the same sequence under 1 other name. The record is from Rfam by way of RNAcentral. Lineage: Eukaryota; Viridiplantae; Streptophyta; Magnoliopsida; Poales; Poaceae.
AGAAGGAAGGACGCUUUCACAUGCGAAAGGCCAUGGGAGAGAUUUUUCUAUGAUCCAUGGAUCUCCGAGCGGCAAACCGUAUAUAUAUCCAAGCUGCCUGGCUUGUUUGCGCUCUUUGGACUUUUUAAACUUAGCGAAUUGAAAUAUCUGAGUAGCUAAAGGAAGGAAAAUCAACCGAGACCCUGUUAGUAGCGGCGAGCAAGAGCGGAACAAG